CCCGGAGGUUCGGAGGUUGCACUACCUGGAGGUGUCCCAUGCCACCCUGCCCUGUCGUGGGCUCAGCAGGCUGAGCUGGUCACUUCCUGGUUCUCUUAGGCCCCUGGUUCCUCAACUUUCCAUCUAAAUUUCCUGGGGAAGGCUCCUUUACAAGAAAAUGAAAACUCAGAAGAAUAAGAACCUGCCCAGAAUCAGGCAGCUUGAAAGCAGGGGAGCCACGAUUCAGACUCCUGGCUUUGCUACCCUACCAGGCCAUAGAUGGACCACAGAGAG
Molecule: long non-coding RNA, 273 nt
Filed under: Homo sapiens (human)
Lineage: Eukaryota; Metazoa; Chordata; Mammalia; Primates; Hominidae
Description: HSALNT0098510
Source: RNAcentral